Long non-coding RNA from Physeter macrocephalus (sperm whale), 701 nucleotides. RefSeq lists it as uncharacterized. The record is from RefSeq and is a predicted model, not a curated record. The transcript is spliced from 5 exons. NCBI's taxonomy places the organism in Eukaryota, Metazoa, Chordata, Mammalia, Artiodactyla, Physeteridae.
ACCCCGCUCGGGGUUCUGCUGACCAGUCACUCGAGAUCCCUCCUUGGGCUUUAUUAUGUCACAGGAACCCAGAAUGGAAUGCGGAGGAUUAAAUUCCAAGCCCUUCCCGGCUGGCAGGGCCCGGAGGGAGGGGAGCCGCCGGCCAUCUGAGCUCUCGGGUGCCCCCUACUGAGUGUCUUUGUCCCUCCGGCUCGGAGGCAGGCAGCGGCUGGUGCCAUGGUCCAGGCCUCCUGAGGCCCCGGAGGCAGCAGGCAGCUCGGCCCUUCGAGCUCUUACAGCAUCCAGGGACACGGAGGGAAAGUGCUGUGUGAACCGACGUUCCACCCAGAAAUGGAAGGAAUUUCAUCUUCAUACAGGAAGCUGGAGUACUUCUGUAAAGAGAAUCUUCACAUUAGUUAUUUGCUAACCUGAGGCACAUUUCUUAUAAGAAAGUGCCCGUGGCUGAAUUCAGGGUACGCUGUGUUGACCAGUCAACGAGCAGAGCCAGGAAACUCGGUAUCAGAGAAAAGCGGGAGAAAGGAAUGAGCAGACGUAAGGCGAGCAGACUAAAAGCCCACAUUUGGGAAGCGGAUGCAUCAGGAUUGGGCUUUGGAGCUGGUCGGAUGUGAUUCAGAAUCUUGGCUCCAGCCAGUCGCUAGCUGUGUGACCUCGAUUAAGCUGAGGCCUUCCAAAAGUGAGGAAAAAUAACUUCUUAAAGCAAA